RNAcentral lists this ribosomal RNA (497 nucleotides) under uncultured bacterium. RNAcentral describes it as "partial 16S ribosomal RNA". It matches the Rfam family "Bacterial small subunit ribosomal RNA", at positions 28 to 507 of the family's 1533-position model. The record is from RNAcentral.
GAUGAACGCUGGCGGCGUGCCUAAUACAUGCGAGUCGAGCGAACGGACGAGAAGCUUGCUUUUCUGAUGUUAGCGGCGGACGGGCGAGUAACACGUGGAUAACCUACCUAUAAGACUGGGAUAACUUCGGGAAACCGGAGCUAAUACCGGAUAAUAUUUUGAACCGCAUGGUUCAAAAGUGAAAGACGGUCUUGCUGUCACUUAUAGAUGGAUCCGCGCUGCAUUAGCUAGUUGGUAAGGUAACGGCUUACCAAGGCAACGAUGCAUAGCCGACCUGAGAGAGUGAUCGGCCACACUGGAACUGAGACACGGUCCAGACUCCUACGGGAGGCAGCAGUAGGGAAUCUUCCGCAAUGGGCGAAAGCCUGACGGAGCAACGCCGCGUGAGUGAUGAAGGUCUUCGGAUCGUAAAACUCUGUUAUUAGGGAAGAACAUAUGUGUAAGUAACUGUGCACAUCUUGACGGUACCUAAUCAGAAAGCCACGGCUAACUACGUG